GUGUGGUUCAGACACCAUUGCCUGCUGUGCUGUUCCAGUUCAAAUCCUAGGCAUGCUGGAGACAAUUACAGAGGUGAGAGACCCGGUUCCGUUUCCGUGUACCACAAUGGAGGAAGUGGACCUUUUUGAGCAACGGCUCAAAGAUCCCGUCAACAUUCUAAUGAGUGACGACAUGAUGCCAAACGUGGAACAUCCUCGAAUGAAUGGAAAAAAAUUAUUCUGUCAAAUGACAUCUAAGACUUUGCUCCUGCAUGCCGUCAGAAAGAAUCAUGCCACACAUGCAUCCACUGAUGAACAGAUUCUAAAGCAUGCCAUUAGGUGGUUCAACCUGGCAGCAAACCGGGGUAGCUCCAGGAGGCGUGCUACUGUCGA
Long non-coding RNA from Pseudoliparis swirei, 372 nucleotides. RefSeq lists it as uncharacterized. The transcript has 4 exons. The record is from RefSeq and is a predicted model, not a curated record. Lineage: Eukaryota; Metazoa; Chordata; Actinopteri; Perciformes; Liparidae.